UACGUAGGGCGCAAGCGUUGUCCGGAAUUAUUGGGCGUAAAGAGCUCGUAGGCGGCCAGUUGCGUCUGCUGUGAAAUCCCGGGGCUCAACCCCGGGCGUGCAGUGGAUACGGGCUGGCUAGAGGCAGGCAGGGGAGAACGGAAUUCCCGGUGUAGCGGUGAAAUGCGCAGAUAUCGGGAGGAACACCGGUGGCGAAGGCGGUUCUCUGGGCCUUACCUGACACUGAGGAGCGAAAGCGUGGGGAGCGAACAGG
Molecule: ribosomal RNA, 253 nt
Filed under: uncultured bacterium
Lineage: Bacteria
Description: partial 16S ribosomal RNA
Rfam family: Bacterial small subunit ribosomal RNA
Source: RNAcentral